Molecule: ribosomal RNA, 254 nt
Filed under: uncultured bacterium
Lineage: Bacteria
Description: partial 16S ribosomal RNA
Rfam family: Bacterial small subunit ribosomal RNA
Source: RNAcentral
GACGUAGGAGGCGGGCGUUAUCCGGAUUCACUGGGCGUAAAGCGCAUGUAGGCGGCUGGACAAGUCGUGUGUUAAAGCCCCUGGCUCAACUGGGGGGAGGUCAUGCGAGACUGUACGGCUGGAGGGCAACAGAGGCACGUGGAACUCCCGGUGUAGCGGUGGAAUGCGUAGAGAUCGGGAAGAACACCAGUGGCGAAGGCGACGUGCUGGGUUGCACCUGACGCUGAGAUGCGAAAGUGUGGGGAGCAAACGGG